GAUGAACGCUGGCGGCGUGCCUAAUACAUGCAAGUCGAGCGAACGGACGAGAAGCUUGCUUUUCUGAUGUUAGCGGCGGACGGGUGAGUAACACGUGGAUAACCUACCUAUAAGACUGGGAUAACUUCGGGAAACCGGAGCUAAUACCGGAUAAUAUUUUGAACCGCAUGGUUCAAAAGUGAAAGACGGUCUUGCUGUCACUUAUAGAUGGAUCCGCGCUGCAUUAGCUAGUUGGUAAGGUAACGGCUUACCAAGGCAACGAUGCAUAGCCGACCUGAGAGGGUGAUCGGCCACACUGAAACUGAGACACGGUCCAGACUCCUACGGGAGGCAGCAGUAGGGAAUCUUCCGCAAUGGGCGAAAGCCUGACGGAGCAACGCCGCGUGAGUUAUGAAGGUCUUCGGAUCGUAAAACUCUGUUAUUAGGGAAGAACAUAUGUGUAAGUAACUGUGCACAUCUUGACGGUACCUACUCAGAAAGCCACGGCUAACUACGUG
RNAcentral lists this ribosomal RNA (497 nucleotides) under uncultured bacterium. RNAcentral's name for it is "partial 16S ribosomal RNA". It matches the Rfam family "Bacterial small subunit ribosomal RNA", at positions 28 to 507 of the family's 1533-position model. The record is from RNAcentral.